Molecule: ribosomal RNA, 492 nt
Filed under: uncultured bacterium
Lineage: Bacteria
Description: partial 16S ribosomal RNA
Rfam family: Bacterial small subunit ribosomal RNA
Source: RNAcentral
AGUGAACGCUGGCGGUAGGCCUAACACAUGCAAGUCGAACGGCAGCACAGUAAGAGCUUUCUCUUACGGGUGGCGAGUGGCGGACGGGGGAGGAAUACGUCUCCAUCUACUGUUUCGUACGGGAUAACGGAGGGACACUUACGCCAAUACCGCAUACGACCUAAGCGUGGAAGCUGCGGGUCUUCGGACCUUGCGCGAUUGACUGAGCCGAUGUCGGAUUAGCUAGUUGGCGGGGUAAAGGCCCACCAAGGCGACGAUCCGUAGCUGGUCUGAGAGGAUGAUCAGCCACACUGGGACUGAGACACGGUCCAGACUCCUACGGGAGGCAGCAGUGGGGAAUAUUGGACAAUGGGCGCAAGCCUGAUCCAGCCAUACCGCGUGGGUGAAGAAGGCCUUCGGGUUGUAAAGCCCUUUUGUUGGGAAAGAAAAGCAGCAGGUUAAUACCCCGCUGUUAUGACGGUACCCAAAGAAUAAGCACCGGCUAACUUCGUG